CUAAAUGCGGAAGAGAUAAGUGCUGAAAGCAUCUAAGCACGAAACUUGCCCCGAGAUGAGUUCUCCCUGAGACUUUAAGUCUCCUGAAGGAACGUUAAAGACGAUGACGUUGAUAGGCCGGGUGUGUAAGCGCAGCGAUGCGUUGAGCUAACCGGUACUAAUGAACCGUGAGGCUUAACCUUACAACGCCGAAGCUGUU
This 199-nucleotide ribosomal RNA is filed under the name Salmonella enterica. RNAcentral describes it as "partial 23S ribosomal RNA". It matches the Rfam family "Bacterial large subunit ribosomal RNA", at positions 2749 to 2925 of the family's 2925-position model. Lineage: Bacteria; Pseudomonadati; Pseudomonadota; Gammaproteobacteria; Enterobacterales; Enterobacteriaceae. The record is from RNAcentral.